RNAcentral lists this ribosomal RNA (227 nucleotides) under uncultured bacterium. Its description in RNAcentral is "partial 16S ribosomal RNA". It matches the Rfam family "Bacterial small subunit ribosomal RNA", at positions 15 to 218 of the family's 1533-position model. The record is from RNAcentral.
GAUCCUGGCUCAGGACGAACGCUGGCGGCGUGCUUAACACAUGCAAGUCGAACGAAGAGCGAUGGAAGCUUGCUUCUAUCAAUCUUAGUGGCGAACGGGUGAGUAACGCGUAAUCAACCUGCCCCUUCAGAGGGGGACAACAGUUGGAAACGACUGCUAAUACCGCAUACGAUCCAAUCUCGGCAUCGAGGAUGGAUGAAAAGGUGGCCUCUAAUUUAUAAGGCUAU